RNAcentral lists this ribosomal RNA (395 nucleotides) under uncultured bacterium. RNAcentral describes it as "partial 16S ribosomal RNA". It matches the Rfam family "Bacterial small subunit ribosomal RNA", at positions 359 to 773 of the family's 1533-position model. The record is from RNAcentral.
AGAUUUUACACUGGGCGCAAGCCCGAUCCAGCCACGCCGCGUGAGAGAUGAAGGCCUUAGGGUUGUAAAGCUCUUCCACCGGUGAAGAUAAUGACGGUAACCGGAGAAGAAGCUCCGGCUACCUUAGUACCAGCAGCCGCGGUAAUACGUAGGGGGCUAGCGUUGUUCGGAAUUACUGGGCGUAAAGCGCACGUAGGCGGAUUAUUAAGUCAGGGGUGAAAUCCCGCAGCUCAACUGCGGAACUGCCUUUGAUACUGGUAAUCUAGAGACCGAGAGAGGUAAGUGGAACUCCUAGUGUAGAGGUGGAAUUCGUAGAUAUUAGGAAGAACACCAGUGGCGAAGGCGGCUUACUGGCUCGGAACUGACGCUGAGGUGCGAAAGCGUGGGGAGCAAAC